RNAcentral lists this ribosomal RNA (387 nucleotides) under uncultured eukaryote. Its description in RNAcentral is "SSU rRNA". It matches the Rfam family "Eukaryotic small subunit ribosomal RNA", at positions 587 to 972 of the family's 1831-position model. The record is from RNAcentral.
AGCUCCAAUAGCGUAUAUUAAAAUUGUUGCAGUUAAAAAGCUCGUAGUUGAACUUCUGGCUUGGCGCGCGCGGCCCGGGCCGUAAAGGUCUGUGUGCCGUUGUGCGCCUGCCAUCUUGCUGGAGCACGGCUGUGCCCUUCACUGGGUUGCAGUCGCGAUUCAGCUCUUUUACUUUGAAAAAAUUAGAGUGUUUAAAGCAGGCUUGCGCUAUGAAUACAUUAGCAUGGAAUAAUAAUUUAGGACUUCUGUUCUAUUUUGUUGGUUUCUAGGAUGGAAGUAAUGAUUGAUAGGGAUAGUUGGGGGUGCUAGUAUUCAGCGGCCAGAGGUGAAAUUCUUGGAUUCGCUGAAGACUAACUUAUGCGAAAGCAUUCACCAAGGAUGUCUUCU